RNAcentral lists this ribosomal RNA (456 nucleotides) under uncultured bacterium. RNAcentral describes it as "bacterial SSU rRNA". It matches the Rfam family "Bacterial small subunit ribosomal RNA", at positions 29 to 491 of the family's 1533-position model. The record is from RNAcentral.
AACGAACGCUGGCGGCGGGCCUCAUACAUGCAAGUCGAGCGCGAAAGUCCGCAAGGAUGAGUAAAGCGGCGCACGGGUGAGUAACACGUGGGUAAUCUACCUUUUGGAUUGGAAUAACCUGUCGAAAGACGGGCUAAUGCCGAGUAAGCUUUCUUGAACGUAAAGUUCGAGCAAGGAAAGAUGGCGCAAGCUAUCGCCGAUAGAUGAGCCUGCGUCCCAUUAGUUAGUUGGUGGGGUAAUGGCUUACCAAGACAAUGAUGGGUAGCUGGUCUGAGAGGACGACCAGCCUCACUGGAACUGAGACACGGUCCAGACACCUACGGGUGGCAGCAGUCGAGAAUUUUUCUCAAUGGGGGAAACCCGUGAAGGAGCGACGCCGCGUGGGGGAGUGACGGAUCUAGGUCUGUAAACUCCUUUUUCUAUGGAAAGACUUAGGACGGUACCAUGAGAAUAAGG